GUGUCCCCCCCCCUUCCAAGUCCCUUAAUUAAUUUGAGGGCAGUAUCACAGCUAUGCCCGUGUAUUUAUAGCGGGAUACUGAGGGCGAGUGCUGCGUGCGUUAGGGCUUGGGGUAAGGGACGCCGGAGGGUGUCAGGCCUGCUGCGAUGUCACUGGGGGACCCCGAAGGACGGCGGGAAGACAAACCUGGUCCUUCCUGGGAAUGGUCCCCAGUGCUGGCUGUAGCCUAACCGCUGCCAGGGGCCGAGCUAACAGCUAAGCAGAACGGAUGAGCAGUGUUUUCCAACUAACCUCUUGGCUUUGUUUUGUUUAGUGGGGCAGAUGUAGCUGUUGUUGUGCGUGUUGGAGUGUUUAAUUUGCUAUAACAUAAUUUUGCUUUUUUGACAGGGCAAUAUGUUGCGGUAUAUCUGAAGUGUGAGAAGUACCAAUCGAGCACAGACUGACACGUUUUAAAAUAUCAGUGUUUGCCAGAGCUUCCUCACCAAAUGCUCAUAAAGAGGUCACCUGAUUGAUGGCUAGUGGACGUCCUCAGCUGCAGGAAGCAGACAGUGUGGAAGUUUAAAGGGACCUCCGAUAAUCCCAACAGUUUCACGCCUUUGCCAUGAUCCUGAAAUAUCUUGCCGAGUACAGAGCGAUGGAGGAGGUAUGCCUUCCUUACAGCCUGAGGCAGUUGGUGUUAGGGAUCACAGAAUCAGACAGCAGUAGCGGGCCCAGCAUGCCAAGGGAAGGAAGAGCAAGCACACCCUUCAAGAAUCUGCUUUUCUGGAGUGUGAAGCUCACGCCCGUUAAUAUUGCCUGGAGUGCUGGGUGUUGUGGAUUCCCAUCGCUUCUGAAAAUUUUAACACCGUACACCCAUUUCAAACACUCCCAACAGCAUAAAUUAGACUACUCAUCUACUGUGAAACCCACAGUACUUACUAGGUUCAAACCUCAGUCUUGGCCCCAGCUGUGUAAAGCAGACAGCAAGCUGCCCGAAAGGAGCAGCCAAGAUUUCCCUCAAGGAAAUCUUUCUUUUUGCCCUUUCACACAAGGGCAAAUUUCCAUUUCAUAA
Molecule: long non-coding RNA, 1051 nt
Filed under: Struthio camelus australis
Lineage: Eukaryota; Metazoa; Chordata; Aves; Struthioniformes; Struthionidae
Description: lncRNA (ENSSCUG00000018094.1)
Source: RNAcentral